This 71-nucleotide transfer RNA is filed under the name Anaerolineae bacterium. RNAcentral describes it as "tRNA-Gln". It matches the Rfam family "tRNA". Rfam says of the family: Transfer RNA (tRNA) molecules are approximately 80 nucleotides in length. Their secondary structure includes four short double-helical elements and three loops (D, anti-codon, and T loops). Further hydrogen bonds mediate the characteristic L-shaped molecular structure. tRNAs have two regions of fundamental functional importance: the anti-codon, which is responsible for specific mRNA codon recognition, and the 3' end, to which the tRNAs corresponding amino acid is attached (by aminoacyl-tRNA synthetases). tRNAs cope with the degeneracy of the genetic code in two manners: having more than one tRNA (with a specific anti-codon) for a particular amino acid; and 'wobble' base-pairing, i.e. permitting non-standard base-pairing at the 3rd anti-codon position. Lineage: Bacteria; Bacillati; Chloroflexota; Anaerolineae. The record is from RNAcentral.
UGGGGGAUAGUUCAACGGCAGAACGCCUGGUUCUGGCCCAGGUAAUCUUGGUUCGAAUCCAGGUCCCCCAG